AACUAAUUUCCCACUUGGAAGUUGUGCUCGGUAGACGCUCCCAUAACCACCGGUUCCGAUACAAUAUCUGAGGUCAAAGUUCUCGGUCGCUGUAAUGAUGUCUUGGUAUGCAAUCGUCCCAUCAUAAUUCCAUACGGAAAACAAGUCUCCAUUCUUUGAUGAUGCUGGCUCAGGUUGGGUAGCCUUGCGUCGAGACAGAUAACAACAUCCGAGACACAAGAGACAAAGUGAAGUGGUGGUAAUAGGAAGAAAUAUGUUGAUGGAAUGAAUUAUUCUGUUGUCUUUUGAAGGUAACGUACAGUUUGAGAGAUCAGGGUGUAAAUAUUUGUUGCCCUCAAAUGCAGUAGCUUUAAAAGUAACUGAAUCGUUGGUAAUUUGCCCGUGAAGAGAGUCGCACCCCAAAAAAUCAGCGCGCGGCAUCGGCUGGCGAUUUAAAUCUCGUUUAUUGCGUUUGCUUGAAUUUGGUUCACUGGAGUCGCCACCUAGUAAUUGAUUGCGGGCUACUAGGAAACCGGAUGUACUGGUCUCGUCAGAGAUUCGCGGGUAAGGGACUGGUUGUGGUUAGGGAAGGUAUUAGCACCCCUAACGCACCCUACCUGAGGUAAGCUGCUUCGUGAAUUUGAUGUGUUAAAGAAGUUUUAAUAAUUGUCUUUUCAUCGGAAAUUAGAAAUAUCACUUACGUAUAAGUUAAUAAUUCUCAACCGCGAUCCGAUCAAAAUAUUAAAUUCUUCUUUAAUAGAUUUGCAAUUUCAUCCUAAAAAAUAAAUAAAGAAAUAAAUAAAAGAACAAAUUCAUAAAACAAAUACAAACACACACAUACACUUUCACUAUUUUUAUUUCUUUUCUUUUUUCUUUUCUUUUCUUUUACAUCCACUAUACAAAUACAAAUACAAAUACAAAUUCAAAUUCAAAUUCAAAUUAAAUAAAUAAAAAUACACCAACACACACAUCCUUUUUUUUUAUUAUUAUUUUCUUUUCUUUUCCUUUUUUUUUUCUUUUACAUUCACAUAUUACAAAUUUAAAAUAAAUAAACAAAAAUUACAUUAAAACUUUAAAAUUUACAAAAUGGUCCCUCAAAACUCCCGAAAUUGCAGGGAAGGACUUCUGCACCCGCAUGAACAGUUCCGGCGCGUCUUCCCACGCGCCUCCGCCACUGGCGGCGCGUGGGUUCACGCGCCGCCCAGAAAUUCAGGCGGCGUGAGGGGGCUGCAAUGGCUUCCUCCCCUCUUCAAUCUCCUGCUGCCCGUCACCUGCAAAACGAACAACAACACAAUCGGCAGUCGAUUUUAAUUUUGUUCUUUGUUUUUUUUUUUUUAAAUCUGCUUCGGAUCUGAUUUUUCGGUCUUCCUUUCUUCUCCGAUCUGCUCCUUCCUCUUGUUUUCAGAUCGUCUUCCAUGUACUGGCGACGACUGCUGGAGGCCGAAGCGGGUGGCGCCGCUGGGGAAAGGAGCUGCUGCGGUUGGCUUCGGUGGGCGCUGGGUUUCGUCUUCUUCUCCUCUGCUUCGGGUGGCAGAUCGGUGGCUUGGUGGAGAUGGAGAACGGCUCUGUGGGGAGGAGCUGGAAACCCGAGAUGGCAGGGAGAGAGAAGAGGGGCGGCGCUGAAAAAAGGUGGUGUUGUGGUCGGCUGAAGAGGUUCUGGCCGGCGGUGAGAUGGUGUGGGUUUGUGAAGGAUAUAUUAUCAACCGGCUGAGGGGGAGGAGAAAAUUCCAGCCGGUGAGUUGCUGUUUGGCCCGUGGGGAAAAAUCAAAUGCCAGGGGUCUUUGUUUCUCUGGUUUCGGCUGGGGAAGGAGGCUGAAAUGGGUGUCGGGUUGAAGAUGGAGGGGGCGGCUUCGGGCUGUUGUUUUGGAUUUGUUUGUGGCCGAGAGAAAGGGAACGGCGGAGAAGAAGAUGAAAACAGGGGGAGGCUGGUUCGGGUGGCCGGUUUUUUGGGUCAGAAAAAAUCAAACCGAGGAGCAACUCCGGGAGACCAAAAAUGAAAACCAGGGGGGGCGGCUGGUGUGAAGGAAAAAGGUUUUUUUUUUUAGGGUUAGGGUUUCUGUAUUUUUUUUCUUCUAAAAGUGUCAAAAUUACCCCCCCUUGAAUGUGUUGAGGAAACCAGUAUUUAUAGGCAAAAUGUUGCUAGGUUUUUCAACUUGGUCCCUCAACUUCUUUCUUUUUUGUAAAUUUUGAUUUUUCUUAUUUUUUUGUAUUUUUUUGAAAACGAGCAAUAUCAACGUCGACUUAAAUGCGAAAAAACAAUGAUUUAAAAAUGACGCGUGAAACGUCGAACGCCUUUGAAAAUCUUUUAACCAUUUAAAUUCUUUUUUUAGACGACGUUAAAAAUGCUAAAAUGACGAAAAUAUAUUAAAAAACAUAUUUUUGGAUUUUCUUUGCUUUUCUCAAUUUUUUGGAUUUUUUUGAAAAUAUAUCAAAACAUGGGUCAAAAAUUGGGUAGCAACAGAUGCCCCCUCUUUACAAUGCUUACGAAGCAAAACUCUUCAAAAUUUUGCAUAGUAAGCUUUGUAAAGAAAACAAAAGGAAAAUGAUUUCAUUAUCUUGGGCGACCUGCCCACACACUCACACUGAUCUGUUUUCACCGGCGACCUGCCCACGCAUACUCACUCUGGUCUAUUUUCACGGGCGACCUACCCACACGUACUCACUCAAGUUUUUUCACGGGCGCUGCCCACACAUACUCACUCAAGUCUAUUUUCACGGGCGACCUGCCACACAUACUCACUCAAGUCUAUUUUCACGGGCGACCGACCCACACUCUCCCAAUAGUCUAUUUUCACGGGCGACCUGCCCACACAUUGGGUUUUACCUGAGAUCCCAUCUGGCGACCUCAUUCAACUGGAACGAAAAUAUGUGUAACUCGGUUAACCUGAAAUCCCAUCUGGCGAUUCCCUUUAACCAAAGUUACAUGAGAUCCCAUCUGGCGACCUCAUUCAACUGGAACGAAAUAUGUGUAACUCGGUUAACCUGAAAUCCCAUCUGGCGAUUCCCUUUAACCAAAGCUACAUGAGAUCCCAUCUGGCGACCUCAUUCUGGUCUCAUUUUACGGGUGACUAACCCUCGAAAAAUGCUGGUCUCAUUGUACGGGUGACGAACCCUAGUGCUGCUGGUCUCAUUGUACGGGUGACGAACCCUAGUGCUGGUCUCAUUGUACGGGUGACGAACCCUAGAAAAAUGAUGGUCUCAUUGUACGGGUGACGAACCCUAGAAAUAUGAUGGUCUCAUUGUAUGGGUGACGAACCCCAGAUGGAAAAAAUGUGAAGUGCGGUCUCAUUGUAAUGGGUGACCUACCCACGUGGAAAAAAUAUGAAGUGUGGUCUCAUUGUAAUGGGUGACCUACCCCGAUGGAAAAAAUAUGAAGUGUGGUCUCAUUGUAAUGGGUGACCUACCCAGAUGGAAAAAAAUAUGAAAAACGGUCUUAUUAUGAUGGGUGACCUACCCAGAUGGAAAAAAUGUGAUAUGACAAGUGUGAAAAAUAGGACUUACCUGGCGAAGUCCUGAAGGGAUGACAAAAGAAGGGCUGGAAAAACUUGGUGCUUCCUGAUAAUUCCCGAUCAUAGGGUUUGAAAACUCGGUGUUUCCUGACUGUAAGGGUUGAAAACUCGAGGCUUCCCGGUUGCAAGGUUGAUCUAUUCAUUUCUUUGGGAUUUUCCUAAUGGUAGGGUUCAUCCCAUCGUCCUUUUAUUCCAUGAUCAAAACCGAUUCUUUAUUAUCAUCAUCACAAUGCUUCUUUCUCUUUCCACCAUCUUGCUGGACCUCAUUAAGGAUUUUCCUGUAACAAUUCAAAAAUAUGUGCAAAUGGUUUUUUUUUUUUUUUUUUUUUUUUGAGGUUAGAUGAUAUGCAUGCAUCCUUACCUGAUUUGAAAUAAUAGGUCCCCCCUCUUUGAUGCUCCAUCGUCAUAGGGUGCCCUUGUUUGUAUCCCAAAGCUUUCUUUGUUCUUCCGAUGUAUUGGCUCAUUCAUGUGUUAGCCAUCCACUCAGCUGUAAAUGCAGUGCCCAUCCCGGGCUGUCUUCGACAAUUACUGCUUGCAUCGUUCAUGAAGCUUGACCCUGCCCCAAGUGUAGUACUGCUUGAUUCAUCAUGAGAGAUUUUCUCUCCUGGCUUCUUCUGAGAAAUUAUCCUCUGAUUGAUUGUGUGCAUCAUGCCAACACCCAUCACGUUUGUUAAUCAGUCAUGAACUUGCCUUCGGUUGAAACACCAUUCAAGUAUGUAUGGUCACCAGCCUUCAUGGAACUGCCAAGUCAUCCAGACAUGUAUCUCAUGCUUUGCAGUAAACAGCUCAUCAUUGUAAGCGCGAUGUAUUUCUCUAUGGAUUCCUCUUAGCUUGUCAAAUCAGAUCGUGAAAAUACCUGCUUUGGCAUCAUCAAUGAUGUUCAUGUUAUCACCCAUAUUCAUGCGGUGAAGUGCGCAUUUGAGCUUCAGAAUAGAUGUCCCACAAUCAGUCUUCGAGGUGGGUGCCUUUCGACAUUCAUUCAGUGCAGUUGUGUGAUAACAUCUGUCUAUAACCAUAUUUCAAAGAAUGACAAUAUGAGAUUGUCCUUUAAGUGCAGCAUUGUUCCACAGUCAGUCUUGGUGGUAUGCAUCUUUUCUCCAUUCAAUUACAUUCAUCUGUGUAUUCCUCAUCGAUCGCGAGCCAUGUUUCAAAAAUGAUGAUAGGAAAGUGCCUUCAGGUACGUUUUUGUUUCUCCAUUGCCGACAGGAUUCACUAAAGCAUGGGCCAUUUUGGAAUGACAUUGCCCCCAGUAUGAUCGAUGUGCUCGUUCAUUGAUUAUCUGUCUUUGAACAUCAUUGUCUUCAGUUCACUGAUUCAUCAUUUAAACAUUGCCUCAUAGCUGAUCUGAGCACUGCUUGUUUUUCCUUUUCAAGGUCUACUGUAUUGCCCCCAGCUGCUCAACUUUUCAAGGAGUGUCGAGGACUUCAAUGUCAUUUCUAUCAACGAUUUUGCAUACUCAAUCAAUGUUCUUCUGUGUUUGAUAAUCUUCCUUGUUCUGGAAUCAACUCUCAUAUUUCAAAGAUCAUGUCUAUUCAAAGUCUAGUUUGUUGAAAUGAAAUCAGAGAUGUCUUUUUUGAAAAUCUUUUGAAAAUCAAGCUUUUUGAUCAAAGGCCCAACACAUUUUAUUCGAAAUAUAUAGUCCUUUGAUUGUCAUGCAUUUUGAAAACAGAAAUUGACCCAAUGUAGGAUUAAAAAUGGCUUUUUCCAUGGUUCUUUGUAUCAAUUUGAAUCCUUGAUAUUGGGUAUAUCAUUUGAUAGUUUAUGGUGAGGUGACCUUCUGUGAAUUUCAAGGAAAACAACAGGCUCAAGUCAAAACUUGAGGAUUCAUGAAGGAAAAUGUUUUGUUUUUAGCAAUAAUUUUAUCAACAUGCAUAACGACCGGUAACUUAAUUCAUGAAGUCACGACCUUAUGGAAAAACUCUUCAAGUUUUGAGAGCGCCAUUUAUCGGUUCAAUUGCUUGCUUGAUUAAAAAGGGCUUUUAAAAGCACGUAAUGCAGGCUAUGGUUCAUGGCUAUGAAAGAAAGGAAUUUCAGGCUCAAAAGGUGUUUGAGGGUUUCAAAGACCUAGGAUCAACAUCAACUAUUCAUCAACUUUUUUUAUUGUCUUGUAGAGGAAACGACAUAUAACCUUGUUAACCUCAAAGUUCGACUUUUCUUAACAUAAGUCAUAAUGCAAAUCCAACUUUCUUUGAGGAAUAACCAACCUUAAUCAUCUGAUAACAUCAUAGGUUUUAUAAUGGAUACCAAAAGUCAACGCUUAUAGCUUAGUCUUUUCUGGUAUUGACUUUUGUUGUGCCUUUCCUUGAUUGAAAUUUCUUUUGCUCUUCAUAGACUUGAUAGGCGUUCUCCUUCCUUUAUCUUUGACUUGUAUUUAAGUGAGGGCAAUUUCAACUUCCUUUUUUUCAUUCUCUUUUUUUUUCAUAGCCUUCCUCAAAAUUUUCUUAUAUGCCCCCAGUCUAUGUGUUUUCUUUUAGCUCUCUCUCAAUCAUUGGACCUUUGUUCUAAGCCUUCCCCUUUAUCCAUUAAUUAUAUCAAUGUCUCCAAAAUAUCUCUCAUUUGCCCCCAGUGUGGGGUGUGAUCCUAGUCAGGGUUUCUUUUUUUGAAAGAAAAUAUUUUACCAGGCUCAAAAUGGGACUGCAAGGGAUAUAAUCUUUAGAAAGUGAAGGGAUAUCAAAGAUGGCCUUUUCUCAUUUCAAGCAAGGUCGGUUAAACCGAUAAAUUUUGACCUCAUCCAGUGUAAUGAUUGGGACUUGUAAGAAUCAUGAUUCACGAGUCCAUAACUACCGAAUCCACUACAUGUCAUUAUGCAUACUGUUAAAACUUAGCUAUAUGAUGUGUGGUUCAGUUUCAAAAGGUAUGAGUUCAAAAUUGUUUGGUCACCUCAUGUCAUUUUCAAGCAUAGAGUCAUUUCUGUAAUCAAAACACUUUUAAUCUUCCGGAUUGAUUAACCUUUAUCGCAUGUUGGAGUUUGAUCAAAAUAUUUUGUCAGAAUAAAAUGCUAAACAUCUGUUGAUUUCAAAACAACAAAGAGACAAAAGCAAGGCAUGUUUCGUUGAAGGAUGAGAUGUGAUCCCAAAACAAAAUGCAGAAUUCCAUAACAAUAUGAUUGACUGUUCAUCACCAUUCUCGAAUCAGCUUUUCUGGCAAUAUCUGUGUUUUGCAAAGCAUUUUCGAUCACAUGUGAUUCUGAAGUUGUUCGGGGAACAAUAUAGCCAGUGACACCCUUCUUCAACGACUCCACUGUCUCUUGCUCACCAACUUUCAGACUCCAUUCUUGCAAUUCUUGAAACUGUUCACUUGAAAUGGUUGAGGACCCCACCAUGACAUCACAUCUCUUAUCUGGAUUAUACCACUGAGAAAUUGGUGGUUGCAUGGGAAUUUGUCGGAGUCAAGCAAAAUUCUGGAAUCUUGCGGAUGCUGGUCGACAACUUAAACGGCAGAGGAAUGUCCCAUCUUGGCAAAGAUAUUUGAGCAAUUGAUGAUGCUGUGAGACCUGGCUAUACCACAUAAUUAAGGGUUCACACUGUCAAAGUCAUCUCCUGAUUCACCUCUCAUCAUUGUUCUAGAAUCCAUGGCAGAUCCUUCAAUCUUUCUUCUCUUCAUAGCUUGUUCAAUUCUUCGGCAAAUCCUCACAGCAUUAUUUCAAUCUUCCAAUGUUGCUAUGGUUGGUUGAGGAUUGUUAGAAAACUUUCUAACAGCUUGGUAAUCUUGGCAGCGCCCAGAAACUUGUAGUAUCGCCACUACCGACGUGUGGAAUCACACAUUGUCUUUAUUGGAAGAGCACCUGAUGAAUCUAAAACUCCUUUGUCCCCUCUUCAAUUUCUCACUGACAGUGCAGCAAACAAACACCUAUAGAGGAAGUCCUGCUCUGUUGAAGUUUCAGUAUUCUUCAUGUUUUUCAGUCUAGGCAUGUAUCUUCUCUCUACUUUUGCAUUUUAAUACUGACACUGUUGGAGAAAAAUCAUAAAUGAUCUGAAACUACUGUAUUCCUUCUUGGAUUUCCCACUUGCGGAUCCACAAACAGAUUCCUGUCGGAGAGCUCUGCUACGUUGAAGUUUGAUGUCUGCUCAUAUUUUUCAAGCCAAGUCUGGCUCUUCAACCUGCUAUAGUUUCUUCGUGCUGAAACUGAUGAGAGAAAUAUUUGUAGCAUAUGCAAUUAGUAAAUCCCCUCUUGCAUUCCCAAUUUGCAGAGCCAUAAAUGGAUUUUUGUAGAGAGAGCUCUGCCACAUUGAAGUUUGACAACUGCUAAUAUUAUCAGACCAGGUCUGACUCUUCUGCCUACUACAAUGUUUUGCUGGUGCCACUGGUGGGAAAAGUUUCAAAGCAUAUGAAAUUAAUACAUUCCCUUUUGCAUUUGCCAUUGACAGAUCCACAAAUAAAUCUCUACAGAGAGAGCUCUACCGCGUUGAAAUUCAGUGUCUGAUCAUGGUUUUUUUUCAGACCAACAUCUUGUGCUGCUGAACUGGAAUUGAGCUCAUAAUUGGGUAACUUCAAGCAGACUAAUGCACCAUGACAGGAGAGUAGUCGUUUGGUUCCAUUAGAUGAUGUGGAGGCGAUGAACACUUACAGUGCAACUGGACAGAACAGUAACAGUGCAACUGGACAGAAUCAGAUUGUCAUUAGUUGAUGACUGAAGGCAUUGUUGUUGUUGUUCAUGACUGAAAAGGAGAGGUACAGCUUCAAUUGGACGUGAACAAGCAGUGUUCCCAGAAGACUGUGCAGACAUUUCUUUUCAUUUGAUGCUCAACACUUGUUCGAGCAGAUCUGAGUCUAGUUGUUUCACUUUGAUGCUCUCAACCUUAAUCUGAUAAUGACCUAUAUCUGACCUUUCUUCACUUCCUUCAUCUUUCUUCAAUCACGUGCAGCACAACUUGCGGGGACCUACUUUCGACCCGGUCAUGCAUGAUAAAUGUAUGAACAUGUAAUCUAUAUGAUGAACUUCCCUUCGAGAGGUGACAAUAUGGUCGUAACUCUUGUAUGAUGGACAAGAAUCGUGAUUUUUGUCCAAACUCUACAAUGAAAAUUUUCGGAGCAACGGCCAAUGUGUCACCCACAAGUCUUGAGUUCAAGAUGCUUCAAGAAGGGUUUGCUCUUAUGCAAAUUAAUGAUAGUACAUACAACCUAAGGAUAGGUUCUAUUCAUUAUGUGAACAUGGGUAGGUUUUCUAUCUGGUCUCAAAAGGGUCUCAUAUCUGCCCAGUGACGUUCUUCGUAAAGACAGUAUGGGGGCGUUGCAAGGAAUGGUUAAGGCACAUAUACCCACCAUUACCAAGCAGGCACUCAGAUAUGAGUUGGGUGUUUCACGCAUCUGAACCCCGACCAAUAGUCUUAGGGCAGAUCGCUAGUUCCCCACCUAACCUACAAGCUUGUGUGUGCUUUUAAAAAUAAAUACAGGUGAUGUAUGAGACAAUUCUAUAAAAUGCAUGGAAAUAAAUAUUAACAAAAAGAUAAAAAUGCAAAAACUUAAACACAUCAAAUACACAAAGCUUAGUCCAAUAAUCGAAAAAAUACCUUCCCCAGUGGAGUCGCCAUUCAGUCGCACCCCAAAAAAUCAGCGCGCGGCAUCGGCUGGCGAUUUAAAUCUCGUUUAUUGCGUUUGCUUGAAUUUGGUUCGCUGGAGUCGCCACCUAGUAAUUGAUUGCGGGCUACUAGGAAACCGGAUGUACUGGUCUCGUCAGAGAUUCGCGGGUAAGGGACUGGUUGUGGUUAGGGAAGGUAUUAGCACCCCUAACGCACCCUACCUGAGGUAAGCUGCUUCGUGAAUUUGAUGUGUUAAAGAAGUUUUAAUAAUUGUCUUUUCAUCGGAAAUUAGAAAUAUCACUUACGUAUAAGUUAAUAAUUCUCAACCGCGAUCCGAUCAAAAUAUUAAAUUCUUCUUUAAUAGAUUUGCAAUUUCAUCCUAAAAAAUAAAUAAAGAAAUAAAUAAAAGAACAAAUUCAUAAAACAAAUACAAACACACACAUACACUUUCACUAUUUUUAUUUCUUUUCUUUUUUCUUUUCUUUUCUUUUAUAUCCACUAUACAAAUACAAAUACAAAUACAAAUUCAAAUUCAAAUUCAAAUUAAAUAAAUAAAAAUACACCAACACACACAUCCUUUUUUUUUUUUUUAUUAUUUUCUUUUCUUUUCCUUUUUUUUUUCUUUUACAUUCACAUAUUACAAAUUUAAAAUAAAUAAACAAAAAUUACAUUAAAACUUUAAAAUUUACAAAAUGGUCCCUCAAAACUCCCGAAAUUGCAGGGAAGGACUUCUGCACCCGCAUGAACAGUUCCGACGCGUCUUCCCACGCGCCUCCGCCACUGGCGGCGCGUGGGUUCACGCGCCGCCCAGAAAUUCAGGCGGCGUGAGGGGGCUGCAAUGGCUUCCUCCCCUCUUCAAUCUCCUGCUGCCCGUCACCUGCAAAACGAACAACAACACAAUCGGCAGUCGAUUUUAAUUUUGUUCUUUGUUUUUUUUUUUUAAAUCUGCUUCGGAUCUGAUUUUUCGGUCUUCCUUUCUUCUCCGAUCUGCUCCUUCCUCUUGUUCUUCAGAUCGUCUUCCAUGUACUGGCGACGACUGCUGGAGGCCGAAGCAGCGGGUGGCGCCGCUGGGGAAAGGAGCUGCUGCGGUUGGCUUCGGUGGGCGCUGGGUUUCGUCUUCUUCUCCUCUGCUUCGGGUGGCAGAUCGGUGGCUUGGUGGAGAUGGGAGAACGGCUCUGUGGGGAGGAGCUGGAAACCCGAGAUGGCAGGGAGAGAGAAGAGGGGGCGGCGCUGAAAAAAGGUGGUGUUGUGGUCGGCUGAAGAGGUUCUGGCCGGCGGUGAGAUGGUGUGGGUUUGUGAAGGAUAUAUUAUCAACCGGCUGAGGGGGAGGAGAAAAUUCCAGCCGGUGAGUUGCUGUUUGGCCCGUGGGGAAAAAUAAAUGCCAGGGGUCUUUGUUUCUCUGGUUUCGGCUGGGGAAGGAGGCUGAAAUGGGGUUGUCGGGUUGAAGAUGGAGGGGGCGGCUUCGGGCUGUUGUUUUGGAUUUGUUUGUGGCCGAGAGAAAGGGAACGGCGGAGAAGAAGAUGAAAACAGGGGGAGGCUGGUUCGGGUGGCCGGUUUUUUGGGUCAGAAAAAUCAAACCGAGGAGCAACUCCGGGAAACCAAAAAUGAAAACCAGGGGGGGCGGCUGGUGUGAAGGAAAAAGGUUUUUUUUUUUUAGGGUUAGGGUUUCUGUAUUUUUUUUCUUCUAAAAGUGUCAAAAUUACCCCCCCUUGAAUGUGUUGAGGAAACCAGUAUUUAUAGGCAAAAUGUUGCUAGGUUUUUCAACUUGGUCCCUCAACUUCUUUCUUUUUUGUAAAUUUUGAUUUUUCUUAUUUUUUUGUAUUUUUUUGAAAACGAGCAAUAUCAACGUCGACUUAAAUGCGAAAAAACAAUGAUUUAAAAAUGACGCGUGAAACGUCGAACGCCUUUGAAAAUCUUUUAACCAUUUAAAUUCUUUUUUUAGACGACGUUAAAAAUGCUAAAAUGACGAAAAUAUAUUAAAAAACAUAUUUUUGGAUUUUCUUUGCUUUUCUCAAUUUUUUGGAUUUUUUUGAAAAUAUAUCAAAACAUGGGUCAAAAAUUGGGUAGCAACAAAGAGUUAAGUCACAUGUGAAAUAAAAAUCAAAGGGUGGUGGCAAAUUCAAGGGAACAGGGCCUAAGAGAUUAUUGUAACUAAAAUUCACAGAAGACAAAGAAGGAAAAUCAUAUAGUUUGGAGGGUAUCUCUUCACUUAAAUUAUUGAAGCUCAAAUCUAGGUAGGUCAAAUUAUUACAAUACUUUAAAGAUGAAGGAAUCAAACCAGAGAUAUUGUUUGAACUCAAAUAUAAUUCCUCCAAAUUUGUCAAGUUCUGUAUUUCUAAAGGGAUGGAUCCGUUGAUUUGGUUGUGAGAGAGGUUUAGCCUUAUCAAGUUUGUUAAAUUGCCUAACGAAAAAGGAAUCAAACUGGUGAUUUGAUUGUAGGAAAAAUCUAGAAGAAUCAAAUUGGAUAAAAGACUCAAAGUUGAAGGAAUCGAACCACUGAUAUUGUUUGAACUCAAAUAUAAUUCCUCCAAAUUUGUCAAGUUCUGUAUUUCUAAAGGGAUGGAUCCGUUGAUUUGGUUGUGAGAGAGGUCUAGCCUUGUCAAGCUUGUUAAAUUGCCUAACAAAAAAGGAAUCAAACCAGUGAUUUGGUUAUGGGAAAGAUCUAGAAGAAUCAAAUUGGAUAAAAAGCUCAAAGUUGAAGGAAUCGAACCACUGAUAUUGUUUGAACUCAAAUGUAAUUGUUCCAACUUUGUCAAGUACUGUAUUUCUAAAGGGAUGGAUCCGUUGAUUUGGUUGUGAGAGAGGUCUAGCCUUGUCAAGUUUGUUAAAUUUCCUAACAAAAAAGGAAUCAAACCGGUGAUUUGGUUAAAGGAAAUAUCUAAAUCUUCAAGGUUCGUCAAAUUUCCUAUUUCCAAAGGAAUGAAUCCAUUGAUUGCGUUGCUAUAAAGGAUCAAAGACCUCAACUUGGCUAAACUACCCAUUGUUCGAGGGAUUGGACCAUUAAGUGUAUUAUAACUCACGUCCAAACUCUCUAGAUUUUUCAUGUUCCCUAUUUCUCUGGGGAGGGCACCUUCGAGUUUAUUAUAACCCAUAUGUAAAUGCGUUAGAUUGUCCAAGUGACAAAGUGCCGAAGGGAUUGGGCCGCUGAAGCCGUUAUUAGACAAGCUCAAAGUAACAAGAUUUUUAAGAUUGCCUAGUUCUGGAGGGAUGGAAUUCAUGAAAUCAUUGGAAGAAAAAUCAAGCUCAACCAAUCGGCUGAGAUUUCCAAGUGAAGACGGUAACUCACCUGCUAGAUAAUUUGAGGACAGGUUGAGGUAUCUGAGGCGGGAUGCUCCCACUGAGCUCAUGGUUGGGCAGGUGGAGACGGGCAAGGUUUGAGAAGCAAGAAAAGUUCAUCUUUCCAAACUUAUUUCCCACCCUGAGGAACUCUGGAAGUGGGGACAUCUCAAUGAUGCUUCCAGCCCGAUCACGGACUAUGCCAGUCCAGUUGCAACGAUAUGAGGUGAGGUUGCUGUAGUCACUCCACCAUCCACUCUCAAGCAAAGCCUUGCCUUCUGAUGCUAGCAAGGCCGAGUCAUCAAGUGCAGCCACAGAUACAAAAAUACAGGACAACAAAAAAGAGACGCUUAAAAUUGCAAGAAGUUUUGGCUCAUAAUCAAUGGACGCCAUGUUUGUGUCUAAUGCUUCCCUUCAAUGAUAAUGCUAAAUUUAUUAAUGAAGUGCAUGGCAUCAAUUCCCAUGGACUCGUUCCAAGUCAAGAUCGUCUGGUCUUUCACGUGUACCUUUCUCGCGUUGUGAUUAAGAAAAAGGCUUACAAAUCACCAAUAGUGGAUUUUGGGAAAUUAAGAAGGCCAGUCAGUUAAUUCUAUUCUCUCUGAUUUUCAUGGAAAGAGACCGAGUAGAAAAAUAAUGCUAAUACAUAGUAGUUUUUUGAUCAUCGUACGUGCCAUUAAAUUUUGGAUUUGAUCCUUAGUCAAUCCGUAUUGCCAUGUCUUGUAGAUUUAAGUUGAAAUAGUGAAACAUUAUCAAACAUGCAUGCUCUUCGAGGCUCUUGUUCAGUUCAAUAUGAGAUCAAAGUUGAUAUUUUCAGCAAGGAACCAUGAUCUCUCCUACAUUUAUGUGCAUUGAAGGUUUGUUGAUAUCCUGUGCAUUUUCAGCAAGGAACCAUGAUAAAAAAUUUUGAGACACGAUUUUCAUUGAAGGUCAAGAGUUUGGAUUUGAAAGUAAGCAAGAAAAUGCCAGAUUUUUAUUAUGUUAAUAAUUAUUUUUUUUAAUAUUUUUUAUUUGAAAACAUAUUAAAAUAAUAAAAUUUUAUUAAAAAAUUAUUUUUCACAUCAUCAUAUCAAAACAAUUUAAUAAUAUAAAAGUUAAUUUUUUAUUUUCACCGCAUUCAGAUUUUUGAUUAAAAAAUAAUUAAAUAAAAAAUUAUUUUUAAAAAAAUACAAUUUCAACUGUAUUUUCAAACAACUUUUAAAGUUUAAUUUGUAAAUAAUGUAAGUAUAAUUUUUUUUCUUAAACUUUUUUCCAGAGAUAAUCGUAGCUGCAAUGUAAUAUUUUUAAUUUUUAUAGAUUCUGUAUAUAUUGAAUUGGGAAUUGGAUUGCUUUUUUUUUUUUUACAAUAACAGUAGAUUGGUUAGGUUGGACUCGACUUGUAGGCUAGGAAAAGCUGAUUAUUAGUCUACAUUGACGUGCAACAUCAGUCGGUGUGCGCGCGCGGGGGGGCGAAUAGUGACGAUCUUGACUCAAACUACUUCAAGGCCAGUUUGCCAAUUAUCUACUCUACUUGGGGGUGAGCAAAACCGGUUCGGUUCGGUUUUAUCUAAAAACUAACCAAAACUGAAAUUUGAAAAACUAAAAAAUUCAAACCGAAACCGAACCGGAACCGGUUCAAACCGACCGGUUGCGGUUCGGUUCGGUUCGGUUUUUUUUUCAUAAAAACCGAAAAACCUGUACUAUUUCUUCGUGAAUCAAACUGUUUGGAUCUUAUAUUUCUAAUCAAUUUAACAUGAUUUUUAGAGUGAACAACCAUUAAAUAUUUAUCUUCUGUUUCUUUCCCACUCAAAACCACACACGAUUCAAAGGUAAUAACAAUAAUAAUAAGUCUAGUCAUAAACCAUCAAAUAAACCAUUAAAUAUGAUAUUCAUGAAGAGAGAAUAUAUGUAGCAUCCUUCAAGAUUCUUGCUUUGAAGCCAAGAAGAGCUACUCUGUCCGCCUCUGCGCAAACUGAGGUCUGCAGCGGGGUUAUUGUUUGAGCAAGUAACAGUGGUGAAGCAUGAAAGAAGGAUAGCAAUAAAAGCUUAGAAACCCAUCUUAGAAUCUGCAGGAGAAACAAUAAUAAUAAGUCCAAUCAUAAACCAUUAAAUAUUUAUGUGUUCAUAGUUAUCAGCUACUUGGAAUUCAAACAGCUAAACUUAAAAAGAUUAUACCUUUGCGUUGGUUGGUGAAAGGGAGAGAACGAGAGAAUGAGGUGCGGCUGUGAGGAUUGAGGUGCGGCUGUGAGGAGAUGGAGUCGCAGUCUUUAGGGUUAAUUAGGUUAUAGAAAGUGAUUUUUUUCCCCUAUUUAUAGUACCCUUUAAAUCGAACCAGUUCGGUUCGGUUGGGGUUUUUCUGGUUUCUGGUUUUGGAAACCGAAACCGAACUGAACCGAAAUUUUUUUAAAAAAAAAUAAUCGGUUUAAUCGGUUUUUUUUUUGGUUCGGUUUUUUCAGUUUUUUUUUCUUGGUUUACUCGGUUUUUCGAUUUUUUUACCCACCCCUAACUCUACUUAUGAAACAAAGGGCCUACAAGACGUGGCACUUAAUUCAUUCAUAAAUUUCGCAGGCAAGCACUAGACGCAAACAUGGCCUCCAAGACGCGAGCGAAGGGGACGUGGGUGGGUCAACCCAAGGAGGGGAUGGUAAGGAACUAGGAAGAUUCAUGGAGUUAGGGUCGUCGUAUGUGUGUGUGUGGAGGGUUGUGUAUGUGGGUAGGGUGGGGCCUUCUUCUUAUUACCAUAGGCAUGCUUGAUAUUUUUCCAGGACAUUAAACCAAAACACUGUCAGUCUCGACUCAACUACUUCAAGGAAAGUUUGCCAAUUGCAUGUUCUUGGAAACAAAGGCCCCACAAGACGUGGAAUGAGUCCAUGAAAAAGCCAUGCACUUAAUUCAUUCAUAAAUUUCGCAGGCAAGCACUAGACGCAAACAUGGCCUCCAAGACGCGAGCAAUUAUUAUUCACACGGUCUCUUUCCAUGGAAGGAUGGAUUGACUGCCUGGCCUUCUUAGUUUUCAAAUGCCACUGUUCGUGAUCAAAAAUAGAAUGCCUGUUCUUUUGAGUGACAGAUUGUUGAGACCAAUAAAAACAAACUGAGAGACGUACGAUAAACCAUUGGUGGUGAAAUUUCAUGCUCUCAUUUUAACCCAUCAACUCACAUUGUUCAAGUUCCAUUUUAUUUGACGCUGCUUUACCAUGACUGUUGGCAUUGCAUUUCGUCAGUUCUUACUUUUUGGUGCUGUGAAUUGCUUAACAAUGUAAGCUAGACAAUAAACACCGGUUUUGGACUUUCUCUACACCACAACUGUUGUGUGUGGUCCCGCACCAUGUGAUGGUGGGACCACCACAUUAAUUGGCAAGAGACUUGGUCAGCUCUCUUUAAUUUAAAAACACAAAUAUUUACUGUAGAUGACAGUAGUGAAAAACAGAGAGAGGAGAAGAAAACCGAGAGAAAGAAAGGAGUGAGAUCGGAAGAGGUUCAGCAGGAAUGCCGAGACCGAUCUCGUAUCCGUCUCUCUGCUUGCUGAGUCGAGACACGCAGGGAUGAGAUGGCGCCGCACUGACCCUAUAGUGCUAGACACGUUUCUAUUCAUUCUGGACGGUUGGAUCGAAGAUUGAUGGCGUGGAAGCUGGCCGUUUUGACAGAAAACGGGGCUGUCAGUUUGUGAGUUUUUCUCCAAUAAUUCUCUUAUAAUCUUGUUGUAAUCCGAGAAUAAGUUGUUCUUGAUGAUAUUAUGUUGUAUCCCUUAGUUGAAUCUGAGGAAGAACAGUUGUGAACCCAUUAUUGUUGAUAGUGGAAGUUUUUAGGUGGAUUACGGUCCCGUGGUUUUUCCCGUAUCGGGUUUUCCACGUAAAAAUCUUGGUGUUGAUUUGUGUGAUUUUUGCAUUAUAUUUGGUCAUUGUGUUGAUUCUGUUUUUACUGCACAAAGAGGGAAAUAAUUGGGACUUGUGAAUUGUAUUCCGGUAAAUUGGUGUCCGGUUAUUCUUAGUUUUCCCAACAACAACUACAUCAGUCUUUCAAGAUUACAGGUUCGAUCCCUUCAGAAAUUGGGAAUUUGAAGAAUUUGUAUGGACUUUCUCUACAUCUCUGGUUCCAUUCCUUUUUCAUUAGAUAAUUUAAGAAACUUUGCAUUUCCAUACCUCUCUUACAACCAAAUCAACGGAUCCAUCCCUUUAGAAAUAUGGAACUUGGCAAAAUUGGAAACAUUAGAUCUUAGUUCAAACAAUAUCAGUGGUUCCAUUCAUUCCAGAGCAGGCAGUUUAACCACUGAGCUCAUGGUUGGGUAGUUUGAGUCAAGAUUGUCAGUAUUGGGAGAGCAACCAGACAUGGUUUAAUGUCCUGGAAAAAUAUCAGCCACAUUAGCAUGCCUAUGGUAAUAAGAAGAAGGCCCAUUUCUGUUUCUACAAGAAAACACAAUUAAUGUCAGUGUUGGAUUAACUCGAUGAUUAUGGAAGGACCAUCUUUUUUGGAAUAUUGAUGAUGCUCUUUUGUAGUGACUUUUCUUUGCAAUUUGAUAGGUGGAGCAGUAAACUCCAGCACAAGCACCGUAGCCCUCUGGUAAUGUCAGAAAAUACUUUUGUUUAAAUUUCCAAAAUCUAUUGCAUUUGAUGAGCACCAUGCCCAUAUAUAAACUUCUUCGGGGAAAAUAAAAUAAAGGAGCGGGAAUUAUGUGGGGGCAGUAAACUCAAGUGAAGAAAACAAUACGAGCACCAUACCUAUAUCUAGCAUUCCAAAAUACAGAAGGAAUGAUCUUUUUUUCUUUUCCACGGAAAAAGCCGAAUCAGCUUCAACAUUCCUUUAUUAUUCCAGGAAUAUCUAUCUUUUUACUAAAACUAAUAAGUGUUUUACCAUAACACAGGUUACUGUGCACUGUAAGUGAAUUUAGUAUGAAUUGUACUAUCACAUACUGUAGCGCGAAAUAAUGAGUGCUUUCACUGUGGACUGCAUUGUUUGGUAAGGGCAUGUGUGAGGUUGCAGCCAGCAAGCCGCAAGUGUCAGGCUGGAGGCGCAUCUACUGGGGCUGUCGACACUUGGCACUUGGCUGCCAAGCCUAGGCACUGGGCAUGCAACGUCUGUUGGUCGCCCCCCAAGCUGUAGUCACCUGGUGCUCGGUUUGCCCAGCAUUGGGCGCUUGGGUUGUCUGCAUGUGUGUUGGGUUGACCAAGCGCACAUGUGGCGCUUAGGCUGGCUUGCAGUGGCGUGAGCCAGACCGGCACCCGUCCAAGGAGAAUGGAUCCGGCGUCAGGACCCAAGCUCAAUUGGCCUUGUAUAAGGACCCAAUUCAAUUGGGUUAUUCAUCAAGACCCAAGGUUCCUAGGUCCUAGGAUUCUAAAUAUAAUUAUUUGUAUCAUAGUUUUAAAACCCGACCUGGCGGGUCAACCCAGGACCCGGCUGACCCGGGGCUGGAACCGGACUGGGUUGAUGAACAAACCCGCAAAGAAAUUGGUCCGGCAAAACCCGGUCAACCCGCAUAAGACCCGGUUGUUUUAUAUAUAUAAGUAAAGUCAUUUUUUGCUUUAGCUUUUUACUAUCAAUUAAUCAAACCAUCUGCAACAUAGACAAAAUAAACCCAAUCUCUUCGAUCUUUGAAGCCAUAUCAGUUGCAAAGAAGAGUAGACAAAAUUAAGCCACAUGCAAAAGACUUCAAGGCAAGUCAUGCCAGAUUUUGUCCCCGUCUCUCUUUUGGCCCUCAGCAAUCACUAAAUCUGUUUUUGCAGGGUGUUUUUUUUUUUUUUUUUGGCUCUCUUUAGUUUAGAUAUGCAAAUCAAGGUUAGAUGAAGUUUCUGUUACUUAUUUCUCUAGUGGAAACAAAGAGAUCAAUAACUGGGAUUCCUUCUUUGACACAACUUUCUUCUUCUUUUUUUCCUGGGAAAACAUUGAACAUGGAUAGUUUCUGUUGAUUACAGGAGUGGAGCAAAGAGAGGAAAGGGUGAAGGGAGGCGAGCAAGACAAUUUCUGUAGCUUUUCAAUGUAGAGAGAAUUUCUCAAUAUAGUGGGGUGGGGUGGGGUGCUGUGUGAGAUUUCAAGGAGAGUGAUAAGAGGGAGGCAUGAUCAUGAGAGUAAAAGAACCAAAGAGAGCCAAAUCAAGACAACUUUUGCAGCGCUUCAUGUUUGGUAAAAGAACCGUUUAGAAAAGUAAACCACGCUCCGACCAUUAAUGAAAAUUUCACGGGAAAUAUAUAUAUUUUUUUUAUCUGGGUUAACUCGAGUCAACUUAUAUGACCUGUGAUCUGAUUAUUAUACCAGGUUGAUUACUGGAUCGGGUUUUAAAACUAUGAUUUGUAUUGUAAAUAUUAUUAUUUUUAUUAUAAUUAGUAUUAUUAAUAAAAUAAUUAAUAAAUUUGAAAUAAAAUAUUAUUACUAAUAUUGAAAACAUAUUAUUAUUUAAAUUAUAAUUUUUUAUGAUAUUUUUUAUAAAAAUAAAAAGUGAGUCCGCGGCUUAGUAUUAUUAAAAAUAUUCAACAAUUCUAAGUAUUAAUAAAAAAAAUAUUAUAAUUUGUGUUGUAAAUACUAUUAUUUUUCUUCUAAUACAAAGUAUUCAUAUAAAAAAUAUUAUUAUUUGUGUUCUAAAUAUUCUUGGAAUUAAAAAUACUAUUAUUUGUGUUAUGAAUAUUCUUAUUUUUAUACUGUCAUCAUAAUCAUCAUUAAUAAAUUUUAAAAAAUUAUUGUUACUGUUGAAGAAAAACCACAGGGGAACACGUUACUCUUGGGCUUCCUACCUUUGUACUGCCAGACCAAGCGCACAAGAACACUGGGGCUACGCCAAGACCUAACUAUCCUUAGAUUCCGCAUGCUGCAGUACCCAAAAUAAUCUUGGAUCAUUAGUUAUACAAGACCCAAAAUAGACUUCUAUCGUGCAAUAUAUAGAACCCAACUUUUUUAUGUAGUCACUCCACCAUCCACUCUCAAGCAAAGCCUUGCCUUCUGAUGCUAGCAAGGCUGGGUCAAGAGCAGCCACGAGACCAGAACUAGAUACAAAAAUACAGGACAAGAAAAAUGAGACGCUUAAAAUCGCGAGAAGUUUUGGCUCAUAAUCAACGGAUGCCAUGUUUGCGUGGUAAUGCUUCCCUUCAAUGAUAAUGCGAAGUUUAUGAAUGAAGUGCAUGGCAUUCCCAUGGACUGGUUCCAAGUCAAGAUCGUCUGUGUUUCACGUGUACUUUUCUUCCUGUCUUUUGAAACCAAAGAUGAUGCAUGGUCAAUGCGUUCACUGCAAGACUUUUAAUUCUAUCAAUUCCAAUGCCUAAGACAAUAGCUUCAGAUUGUUCUAGCAAGUCCUUUUCUUUUUCCACAAAGGAGCAAAAGGUUCACCAAUAGUAUCAUUUGGAAAUUAAGAAGGCCAGUCAGUUAAUCUAUUCUCCCUGACUUUCUUGCGAAGAGAUCGAGUAGAAAAUAAUCCAAAUACAUGUUUGGGGAUUUCAUUCUAAGUCUAUCCGUAUUGCCCACGUCUUUUAGGCCUUACUUUCAUAAAUAGAGUAGACUAGAUAUUGUUAUUACUAUGUUGCAGCUAAGAUUAAUUUUUUUAUGGUUAAAAACUAUGUAAUUGUUAUUAUCGUGUUUUUUAGUUGAAAAAAAUUAAAACAUGUAGAGGUUAUGUUGAAGUGACCUAGUUAACUUAACGGGUUAAAAAGCAAUUUGAAAAACUUUUAAAAAUAUAGUUUCAUUAAAAAAAUUCAAGACGGCAUGUUUUUGAAAAAAUAUCGAGAUGAAACCAUAUUAAAUUGACUCGGGUUAACCUGUUAAAUUCACGACUCGAAUCAUAAGACCACAAUAACCACAUACAAAGUAAAUCAAAAUCAAAUAUAAAACUCAAUUCUCAAUUAAACCAAUGUUAAAAGAUGAAAUAAAAAAAAUCAAUUAAAAAAGAGACCAAAAAACAAACAACUCAAGUUAACCUGUCAAAGCUGCUACCUGAGUCAUAUAACUGAAAUAACUCAUUAUAAAACAAAUUAAAAUAAGUUAUAAAGUUUAAUUCUCAAUCAAUCAAUGUUGAAGGAUGAAAUUGAAAAAAAAUCAAUUCAAAAAAACUGAAUCAACUCAAGUUAACCAACCAAACUCGUGACCUAUAUAAUAAGACCGAAUAACUCGUAGAAAGCAAAAACAAAUAUGAAGCUUAUCCCAAAUCAACCAAAUAUUGAAGGAUAAAAUUAAAAAAAAAUUAAACUAAAAAAAGGACAAAUAAACCUGAGUUAACCUACAACUCGAGAUAAGAAAUCUCAUUAUUUAGGGAUGAAAUAAAAAAAAAUAAAAACAAAAAAACAUGAGUCAACCCAGUUAUUAGCCAAAUUGUGACCCAGUAAUGAGGCUAGGAUAACUUUAUAGAAAGCAAGACAAAAAAAAAUUGAAGCCUGAUUCCAAAUUAAUAAAUGUUGAAGGAUAAAAUUGAAAAAAAUAUUAAAAAUAACAAAAAAAUUGAUCUGAGUUACAUUGUCAAACCCAUGAUCCAGAUCAAGAAAUCAGGAUAACUUUAUAGAAAAUAAAUAAAAAAACUAAGUCAUAGAAAGUAAAUAAAAAAAUUUAUGAAGCUCAAUUUUCAAUAAACCCAUUGUUGAAGGUUGAAAUUGAAGGGAAAAAAAUCAACAUAAAAACAAGAUACAAUAAAACGACCUCAAUCUACACGAGUUAACCUGCAAAACAUGUGAUCCAAGACAUAAGAUCGGGAUAUUCUCAUAGAAAACAAACCAAAUAAAUCAUGAAGUCUAAUUCAUAAUCAACUCAAUGUUGAAAGAUAAAAUUGAAAAAAUACCAAUAAAAAAAAACUCGAGUCAAUGGUUAACCCACCAAACUCACGACUCGAGUCAUGAAAUCGAGAUAACCUUAUAAAAAACAAACCAAAAUAAAUCAUGAAGUAUAAUUGUCAAUCAACCUAAUGUUGAAAGAUGAGAUUGAAAAAAAAAUGUCAAUUAAAAAAAACUCAACUCUAUCGAGUUAACCCGCCAAACCUUACAUAGAUUAUGAGACUAGGCUGAUCACGUAUAAAGCAUACCACAAUAAAUUAUGAAGUUCAAUCUUCAAUAAACUAAAUGUUGAAGUAUGAAAUUAGGGAGAAACAUAGAUUUAGAAAGGUAAAAAAAGAAAAAAAAAGAGGAAAAAAAACACUAUUAAAAUAAAUAGUGUUUUAUGAGGUGAUGAACAAUAAAAUCAUCACCUCUUUUAGUUUAUACUGCUAGUUAUUUGACAUGCGCUUCUCUGCGGGUCAGAUAAUUUUUUUGGAAGAAAAAAUAUAUGCAAGCUUUUCAAAUGUGUUUUUGUACAAAAAGAAAUCUAGUUGUAAAUCGAAAGGCAUAUACAUGCAUUUAAUUAAAUAAAUCAAGAAUCAUCUCUGUUGAUAAAUGCAAAAAAAAUAAAAUUGUUGACGUGUUGAUUCGAUUUGCCUAGUUGCAAGUUGAUUAUUGUUUUUUCCUAACGUAAUGUGUAGAUGUUAUUAACAUGUUUUCUUAUGACGAGUAAAAAAUUAAAUCUGAAAUAAAAAGUCGAAGAUUACAUAUAAUAAAAUAUAAUGAAGAUCACAUGAGUUAAUAAAGAAAUGUAAGAUCUCAUGCACAUUUUUAAUGUAGUAUAAAAAUAAAACAAUGUUGCAAUUGUUACAUUUAAACAUCAUUUUCUUAUUCUUUGUAUAAUAAUUGUUCAAGAAAACAAAUUACGAAAGAAUAAAGAUAUGAAAAAAAAUAAAUUAAAAUUAAAAUUAAUAAUAUUACAAUGUUUUUGUAUUCUGGUAAUUUUAAAGCUAGUUUGUUUAUUUUUGCGUUUUAAAAGCAUUUUAAGAAAAAAACAAUUUUAUUUUUUUUACUAUAAAUUAAAUUUUUAAUGAUUUUAGAUCUUUAUAAUUUGUUGAUGUUAAAAAUAAAUUUUAAAAAAUAAAAAAUAUAUUUUUAAAUAUAUUUUUAAAUAAAAAUUAUUUUUAAAAUAAUUAAUAUCACAACUAGUGCAAUACUAUUCUAUUUGAAAUCCCACGCUGGUAUAAGAAGGCUUAAGCCAUUAGCUGCUUGGGCUUGUUUCGUAUACAUGUUAGAAUAGUUUGUUUUGGUUUUGGUUCAAUUGAGGGCCCGCGAACAAGAAACUUAUGCGGGGCUGUAAUCAUUAAAGAAAAUUAUUGAAUACACAGCCAUGAGAUAAUUAAUAAAAUCCUAAAUAAAUAUAUUAUCCUUGCAUUCUAAUUUAAUAAAAAAAAAUUAACGAAAAUAAGCUCUCUCUUUUUUCUGUCGUUAGAUAUUAUUUGAAUUUUACCGGGAUAUUCUAAAUGCCUUGUUUUAUAAUUAAUGGGUUGCUACUGUAAAAAGUUAAAGUCAAGAAGGCUUUCAUAUUAGGCCUCGACAACAUUAUUUUCUUAAUUUUCUUGUUUUUUCUACAUGUAUUUGGAUUUUUUUUCUUUAUUUUUUUUCUGGUUAUUUUAGGAUUUUUAUUUUCAGUAAAAAUAAGUUGAAUACUUAUUUAAACAAGUUGUAAUUUAUUUUUAUAACUAGUAGCUAGUAUAUAAACAAUUAAGUUGUAUUAGGCCUAGAAAACAUUUAUUUUUCUUGUAAUUUAUUUGAUUAUUAUUGAGAAUUAUUUUGUCUUCGUGUGAUAAAUUAGCUCUGGAGUAUCUCAAACCUUUUUUUUAAAAAAAAAAACAAUUGUUUUCUUUUCAAUCUUGUUCAGCUCCGUCAAGCUUUUUCUUAACUAGCCAUUUACCAUUGCUUUGCUUUUGAUAAUUAUAUCAUUAUUUUUAAAAUAAAAAUUAUGAUGCACGUUUUUAUCUAUUAAAACAUAAAUUUAACUGAAUUCUAGUUAUCAUGUCCAUGAACACCUUGUAAUGUUGGAUUACUAUCGCCUCAUUCUCCAUUCCAGCAAUAACUUAGACUUACUAGUAGUAAUCUCAUUGUUCUUAAUUUCAGUGAUGGUUUUUUAUGUUUCGGUGAUUCGUCCCUUUUAAUCCUACUGUGAUCUUUAUCAGGUUACUUGUGAGCAUGUUAAUUUACCUAGGAAAGGUUUUGAAAAUGAGGUUGUUUCGCGGCUCGGAGGGGUGGUGCAGUGGUGAAGCAUAUGAUAAUAAGAGCCUGAUGUUUAGUGCUCCUGCAAACAAGUUUUGGUCCUGAGGAUUACCUUUCUUUUCCUGGCUUGUCUAAGAGCAUCAGGACAGUUGCACACACCCCAAGCUUUCUCUCAUUUAAAGAUAUCAUGAAGGGGAAUAAGGAUGAUAAAUAUUGCGGUAUCUGGCAAAGAAUUUCAACUUCAGAAGCUGAUACGAAGAAAUCAUUUUUUCUGCUAGUAAAUGUCUCUGAGACAAUAAAAACUCUCUCUUUUAACUUCUUGCGGUUCCAAACAUGAGACAUAAAUCUUGAAGUGGUAUUCCUUCGGAAGAUGAUGGAAAAUCCCAUCCGUGCCAAAUGAUAAAUACCAAAGCACAUCAGUCGGAAAAAAAUCAAUCCAAACACUGCUUUUAGGCAUCCAAUACACUAGAGCUUGCAGGAACAAAUGGAGUUAACAAAUAUCUUCUGCAUAUUUCAAGUGGGGAUUUGCCUAGUUAUAAGAUGAGUGAUGAUUUCAAUUUAACCCAGACAGUGAUGCUCUAAUUGAUUCUACAGUACACGAGAAAAGUGUGCUUCGUUAAAAUUACAUACAAUGUCACCCUAAAAUAUUAUAAAGACAUUUAAUGUACUAAAAGAAAGAGUUCUUCCAAAAUUAAGAAAUAUUAUAAACUUCAAUGUGAGCUCAAAGUUCACAUUUUCAACUAGGAACUGUGAUAUCACCUCCAUUUGCGUGCAUGCCAAGAGUUCGCAGCUCCAUCAAAGAAAUCUCAAGACCUGCCAAUGAUCUCUUGGAAGAUAGAAAUUUUUGAGACACGAAUUUCAUCGAAGGUCGAGAUUUUAGAUUCGAAUGUAAGCAAGAGAAUGCCAGAGUUGCAAUAAUACAUAUAUUCUGUAUGACAAUUUCAUCUGUUGGAGGUGACACACGAGGAUCUAACACUUCUUUCAGUGUAAUAGCCUGAGAAGAUGAUGAUAGGAAAUCUCCUGGAUGCCUUCCCAUCAAUGUUUCUAGCGCCACUACUCCAAAGCUAUAGACAUCACUUUUCUCUGUCACCAACAUAGUAUAAGCCAACUCUGUCCAUAAACAAAAUGAAAUUAAAAAAUAUAUAAAAAAGAGUUUGCUUUAAUGUUGGUGUGCAUGACAUUAGUGAUACACGUAUAUAAAGAAGAAAUAUUUGACCUGGGGCAAUGUAUCCAUAGGUACCAGCAAGUACUGUAUGGUUGGACGAAUCAGGAUCGAGAAGUCUAGCCACACCAAAAUCAGCAACAAAAGACUUGGAUUUUGAAUUCAACAGAACAUUGCUGCUAGAUAUGUCUCGAUGAAUAAUUGGCGGGUUGCAAUCAUGAUGCAAGUAAGAUAAUGCGUGAGCAAUGUCUUUAAUGAUGUGUGCUCUUUUCAUCCACUUCAAUUCCACAGCUCCAACAUCAUUUCUCAAGGCACAAAACAAGCUUCCCUUUUCCAUGUACUCGUAAACAAGAAACAUGCAGCGCUGGUGCAAACAGAAUCCAUAAAGCUUUACAAUGCUCCUGUGACGUAUUUGUGUGAGCACUUCCACCUCAUUUUUGAAACUCUUGUCAAAAGCCGCUCCUCUGCCUCUCGACGAUGAAGUUUCUUCAAGGCAACUAAUUUCCCACUUGGAAGUUGUGCUCGGUAGACGCUCCCAUAACCACGGUUCCGAUACAAUAUCUGAGGUCAAAGUUCUCGGUCGCUGCAAUGAUGUCUUCGUAUGCAAUCGUCCCAUCAUAAUUCCAUAUGGAAAACAAGUCUCCAUUCUUUGAUGAUGCUGGCUCAGGUUGGGUAGCCUUGCAUCAAGACAGAUAACAACAUCCGAGACACAAGAGACAAAGUAAAAUGGUGGUGAUAGGAAGAAAUAUCUUAAUGGAAUGAAUCCUUCUGUUAGUUUUUGAAGGUAACGAACAGUUUGAGAAAUCAGGGUGUAAAUAUUUGUUGCCCUCAAAUGCAGUAGCUUUAAAAGUUGUAGAAUCGUCGGUAAUUUUCCCACGAAGAAGUAAAUCACAUGUGAAAUAAAAAUCAAAGGGUGGUGGAAAAUUCAAGGGAACAGGCCUGAGAGAUUAUUGUAACUAAAAUUCACAUAUUGUAAAUAGGUCAAAUCAUAUAUAUUGGAGGGUAUCUCUUCACUUAAAUUAUUGCAGCUCAAAUCUAGGAAGGUCAAAUUAUUACAAUACUUCAAAGAUGAAAGGAUGGAUCCAUUGAUUUGGUUUUCAAAAAGGUUUGGUUCUCUAUAACGGCCCAUUAUAGAAGGAAUCAAACCACUGAUAUUGUUUGAAUUCAGAUAUAAAUCUUUCAAAUUUAUCAAAUUUCCUAUCUUGAUUGGGAUGGAUCCAUUGAUUUGGUUGUAGGAAAGAUAUAGAAGAAUCAAAUUGGAUAAAGGGCCUAAAGUUGAAGGAAUUGAAUCAACUAGGGUAUUAUAGGAAAGAUCUACAAAAAUCAAAUUGGAUAAAAGGCCCGAAGUUGAAGGAAUUAAACCACCUAGGCUAUUAGAGGAAAGGUCUAAAUAUUAUAGAUUCGUCAAAUUUCCUAUUUCCAAAGGGAUGGAUCCUUUGAUUUGGUUCUCACAAAGAAAUAGAGAAAUCAAGUUGGAUAAAAGACCCAUCGUUGAAGGAAUUGAACCAACUAGGUUAUUAGAGCAAAGAUCUUAAUCUUCAAGGUUCGUCAAAUUUCCUAUUUCCAAAGGGAUGGAUCCGUUGAUUUUGUUUAUAAAAAAGAUCAAAGACCUCAACUUGGCUAAACUACCCAUUGUUCGAGGGAUUGGACCAUUAAGUGUAUUAUUACUCACGUCCAAAAUCUCUAGAUUCUUCAUGUUCCCUAUUUCACUAGGGAGGGCACCUUCGAAACUAUUGUGAUCCAUUUGUAAAUGCGUUAGAUUUUCCAAAUGACAAAGUGCCGAAGGGAUUGGGCCGCUGAAGUUGUUAUGUGUAGAGACUCUACAACAGAGACAGAUGAGGCAAAAUAAUUUUCUUAAUUUCAUAUGUGCACAGAGUCUGAAUAUUUAUAAUACAGCUGUAAGUAAAUCACUCCUACUAAUUUGCUAUACAAAAUUCAAAAUAGAAUCUGGAGACGUGAAUCAAGGCAUGUAAUCAUAACCGAAAAUAGAGGUCCAGGUUUGUUAAGUCUUCUCCACUUGCUGAGGUUUGGCCUGAUUUAUAGUUGCUGCAGAAUCUUCUACGUGAUCAACGGAUUUCAAUUCAAUACACCCAUCAACCGAAUGGGCAGCUCCUGCACAUGAAGGUUGGUUCGUAGAUGAUUAAACCGUGCAACAGCCAAAGGUUUAGUCAACAAAUCUGCGAGCUGAUCACGUGUGGACACGAAGGAGACAUGAAGUUUCUGUUGCACAACUUGAUCUCGUACUAAAUGAAAGUCAAUUUCAAUGUGUUUCGCAUGAGCAUGGAACUUUGGAUUAGAUGAGAGAUAAAUUGCACCAAUAUUGUCACACCAAAGAGUUGGACAGUGUUGGAGAGGCAUUUGGAGUUCUUGCAGCAGAGAUUGAAGCCACUGCAAUUCAGCAACAGUGUUGGCCAGUGACUUAUAUUCCGAUUCAGUGCUGAUGCGUGCCACUGUUUGUUGUUGUUUGCAGUUCUAGCUAAUUAAAUUGGAUCCAUGAAAGAUACAAUAUGCUCCUACACUUCGUCGGUCAUCACUGUCACCAGCCCAAUCGGCGUCACUAAAGCCUUGUAAAGUAUGAUCAGACUGAGGAGUAAUAUGUAAACCAUAAUUGACAGUGUAUUUGAGAUAACGAAGUAUACGUUUCACUGCCUGCCAAUGAACAUCUUUGGGCUGAUGCAUGAACUUGCUCACCUUGUGAACUGCAAAUGCAAUGUCAGGUCGUGUAAAACCAAGAUAGUGUAAGGCACCAACUGUACUUUGAUAUAAAUAAGGGUCGUCGAAAUCAAUACCCUCAAAUUUGGAUAGUGUGCAGUUUGUGGACAUUGGCGUGCUGCAAGGUUUUACCUUAUCUAGCUUGAGUCUUUGUAACAAGUCAAUUACAUAUUUUCGUUGAGUCAGAAUCAAAUCACCACCAUCAUGCAGAGUUUCAACUCCAAGAAAAUAUGAUAAUUGUCCCAAGUCUUUGACAGGGAAGGCACGUCCAAGAUAAGAAAUUAAUUUGUUGACUUCCUCAAAGUGAGAACCCGUGACAAGUAUGUCAUAACAUAUAUAAGGAUGAGCAGCUGGAAACUUGCAGUCUGUAGAAUGUAAAGAGAAGGAUCUGAUUUGGAGCCUACAAAACCAUACUAAAGCAAUUGAUCUGUCAACCAAGAAAACCAAGAACGGGGAGCCUGACGAACACCAUAUAGACUUUUCUUUAAACGACAUAUGUGAGUGGGAAAGUCGGGAUGAAUGUACCCUUGAGGUUGACACAUAUAUACCUCUUCAUCUAACAGUCCAUGAAGAAAGGCAUUUUAAUAGUGCCAUCAACAUAGCCAAACACUUUUUGACCUUUGAGAUAGGGAAGCAUGGUUGCUUUCCAAUUUAGAAAAUUGUUGUGAGUAAGUUUGGUGAUGUUGAGGCUGGAAGAAGGAUUAAAGACAGGUAGAGUGUUGUUAGAAGUAGAGGAAGAAUGAGGAGAGGUGGCCAUGGUGGCUAAGAGGAAUAUGAGAUAGGAGUUUAGAAGGAAGAGGUGAAAAUAAUGGACAGAGAAGGAUCUUUAUGAGAAGACGUAAGUCGCCUGCUCUGAUACCAUGUAGAGAUUAACAUAGACAGAUGAGGCAAAAUAGUUUUCUUAAUUUCAUAUGUGCACAGAGUCUGAAUAUUUAUAAUACAGCUGUAAGUAAAUCACUCCUACUAAUUUGCUAUACAAAAUUCAAAAUAGAAUCUAGAGACGUAAAUCAAGGCAUGUAAUCAUAACCGAAAAUAGAGGUCCAGGUUUGUUAAGUCUUCUCCACUUGCUGAGGUUUGGCCUGAUUUAUAUAUAGUUGCUGCAGAAUCUUCUACGUGAUCAACGGAUUUCAAUUCAAUAUUAUGAGACAAGUUCAAAGUAACAAGAUUUUUAAGAUUGCCUAGUUCUGGAGGGAUGGAAUUGAUGAAAUUAUUGUAAGAAAAAUCAAGCUCAACUAAUCGGCUGAGAUUUCCAAGUGAAGACGGUAACUCACCUGUUAAAUUAUUUGAGGACAGGUUGAGGUGUCUGAGUUGUGGGAGGAUAGAAAUUUGAGGCGGGAUGCUCCCACUGAGCUCAUGCUUGGCCAGGUGGAGACGGACAAGGUUUGAGAAGCAAGAAAAGUUCAUCUUUGCAAACUUAUUUCCCACCUUGACGACCUCUGGAGGUGGGGAAAUCUCAGUGAUGCUUCCAGCCCGAUCACAGACUAUGCCAGUCCAGUUGCAACGAUAUGAGGUGAGGUUGCUGUAGUCACUCCACCAUCCACUCUCAAGCAAAGCCUUGCCUUCUGAUGCUAGCAAGGCGGAGUCAUCAAGUGCAGCCACAAGACCAGUACUUGAUACAAAAAUACAGGACAUGAAAAUUGAGGUGCUUAAAAUUGCAAGAAGUUUUGGCUCAUGAUCAAUGGAUGCCAUGUUUGUGUCUAAUGCUUCCCUUCAAUGAUAAUGCUAAGUUUAUGAAUGAAGUGCAUGGCAUUCCCAUGGACUCGUUCCAAGUCAAGAUCGUCUGUGUUUCACGUGUACUUUUCUUGCGUUGUGAUUAAGAAAAAGGCUUACAAAUCACCAAUAGUGGAUUUUGGAAAUAAAGAAGGCCAAUCAGUUAAUUCUAUUCUCCCUGAUUUUCCUGGAAAGAGACCGAGUAGAAAAAUAAUGCUAAUACAUUGUGGUAUUCUGAUCAUCGUGCCAUCAAUUUGUGGAUUUGAUUCUUAGUCAAUCCCUAUUGCCCACGUCUUGUAGAUGAAGUUGAAAUAUUUUUACCUGGGGCGAUGUAUCCAUAGGUGUUCUGCUGCUGCCACCUGUCAAGAGAAUAGAGAUAUAAUGGUUAGCAAGUUUGCUAAUAUGGUUAGACAGUUAACAAAGUCUGUUACUGUUGAUUAGAUUACGUAACCAAGCUUCUCACCUUUAGUUCAUAUAAAAUGAAUGUAACAGUGCUGGGAAUGUAAGCAGUGAAUAAUACACAGAAACAUUUUCUUCUUCCUCUGCAUUGCAGGAUCUUUCUCUAAUUCUGUUCGCUUCUUGUUCAUCUCUGUAACAAUUCUUACUAGCUUAUCAAUAGGUACCAGCAAAUACAGUAUGGUUGGACGACUCAGGAUCGAGAAGUCUAGCCACACCAAAAUCAGCAACAAAAGACUUGGAUUCUGAAUUCAACAGAACAAUGCUGCUUGAUAUGUCUCGAUAAACAAUUGGUGGGUGGCAAUCAUGAUGCAAGAUAAUGUGUGAGCAAUGUCUUUGAUGAUCUGUGCUCUUUUCAUCCACUUCAAUUCCACAGCUGCAACAUCAUUUCUCAAGGCACAAGACAAGCUUCCCUUUUCUAUGUACUGGUAAACAAGAAACAUGCAACGCUGGUGCAAACAGGAUCCAUAAAGCUUUUAAAUUGCACAUCAUGGUAGGAACCGAACCAUGGAUAUUGUUUGAACUGAGAUCUAUUGUUUUCAAAUUUUCCAUGCUCUCUAUUUCGUAAAGGAUGGAUCCGUUGAUUUGAUUGGAAGAAAGGUCAAGAUAUCUCAAAAUGGUUAAACUGCCUACUCUGGAAUGAAUGGAACCACUGAUAUUGUUUGAACUAAGAUCUAAUGCUUCCAAAUUUGCCAAGUUCCAUAUUUCCAAAGGGAUGGAUCCCUUGAUGUGGUUGUAAGAGAGUUAUGGAAAUGCCAAGUUUCUUAAAUUGUCUAAUGAAAAAGGAAUCGAACCAGUGAUGUAGUUCCGAUGUAGAGAAAGUCCACACAAGUUCUUCAAAUUCCCUAUUUCUGAAGGGAUCGAACCUGUAAUCUUGAAAGACUGAUGUAGUUGUGGUGUAGAGAAAGUCCAAAACCUGUGUUUUUAUUGUCUAGCUUACAUUGUUAAGCAAUUCACAGCAUCAAAAAUUAAGAACUGACAAAAUGCAAUGCCAACUGUCAUGGUAAAGCAGCGUCAAAUAAAAUGGAACUUGAACAAUGUGAGUUGAUGGGUGAAAAUGAGAGCAUGAAAUUUCACCACCAAUGGUUUCUCGUACGUCUCAGUUUGUUUUUAUUGGUCUCAACAAUCUGUCACUCAAAAGAACAGGCAUUCUAUUUUUUAUCACGAACAGUGGCAUUUGAAAACUAAGAAGCCCAGGCAGUCAAUCCAUCCUUUCAUAGAAAGAGACCGUGCAGAUAAUAAUUGCUCGCAUCUUGUAUUGCCAUGUUUGCGCUUGCCUGCGAAAUUUAUGAAUGAAUUAAGUGCAUGGCAUUUUCAUGGACUCAUUCCACGUCUUGUGGGGCCUUUGUUUCAUAAAUAGAGUAGAUGAUGAUCCGGUUGCUUCCAAGAACAUGCAAUUGGCAAACUUUCCUUGAAGUAGUUGAGUCGAGACUGACAGUGUUGGGACUUGGGACAUGGUUUAAUGUCCUGGAAAAAUAUCCAGCAUGCCUAUGUUAAUAAGAAGAAGGCCCCACCCUACCCACAUACACAACCCUCCACACACACACACAUAGUACAAGAUCUUCCUAGUUCCUUACCAUCCCCUCCUUGGGUUGACCCACCCACGUCCCCGUCUAUCCCCAAGACCACAGUGCACCCCACCCGGUAUUUCUUAAUUUAACCCAUAAAAUCAAAAAUUAAAAUUAAAAUCCCAAAACUUUAAAAAUGAUUCAUCAAAUCAGGCCAAAUCCGACAUGCAAAACCCAAUACGAGUCCACAACUUGCCAAUAUGGAAAAGGCCCAGCUAACGAGCCCAUAAUCUCAUUCAGACAUAGCCUAGCACCCGAGCUCAUCUGGAUAAUAGAAAUAUCCAAGGAAGCGCGUGGCCAAAACCCUUAAGGAAGGUCACGCGCCUCCAAAACCGGUGUUUACUGCCUGGCUUGCAUUGUUAAACAACUCGUAGCACCAAAAAUUAAAAAAUGAAGAAAGGGAAUGCCAACAGUCAUAGUGAAGCAGGCAGCUUCAAAUAAAAUGCAAUUUGAGCAAUGUGAGUUGAUGGAAUGCCAAGAGCAUUGUUUUCUCAAACUACUCAGGUUUUAUUGGUCUCAAGAAUUUGCCACUCAAAAGAACAAGCAUUCCAUCUUUGAUCUGGAUGCCCCCCAAACAUAAGUUUUUUUACCUCAGCAAAAUAAAAAUGAAGCAAGGCCAUGAUGAAUAACUUUACAACAAUUCAGCAUUUCAACACAAUCUAUACAGCACAUACAAAAAUUGGCAACCGUGAAAAAAAAUGGAGAGAGAGGGAGGGAGGGGAAAACCAGAUUGCUGCUAGAAAGAACUCCAAUUGCCAGAACUCUUUUUGGGAGUUUGAUCUUCAGAUGAAACCUUAAAGGGGGCGCUGGAGCCAAAUGGAUCUCCAUCAUCAAAUGAAGAGAAUGCACGGCUGUGGCCAAAAUCUUUGGAGCUGUUUAUGGAGUCGAACCUUGUAAGCUUUUCUCGUGGUGAAAAGCCUCCUUCAUUCAUGCUGAAGGAACCAAAUCUCGAGUAAUUGUCAAAAUGGUCCCCUGCUUCGCUGAACCUUGGAGAGUUGCCAAAUCUUGACAUUGGGGAACCUGCAACAGAUUCUUCAAAAAAUAUACUCUUUUUCUGGAAAGUAUUCGUUGUUGAUGUGGAUUCCGUUCUGAUUGGCUUUAGACCAAAAUCUUCAGAUCCAAAGAAAUCUCUCUCGUUCUCAGAAGAGUCCUGCUAGAUGACACAACCAAAUAAUUGAGGGCAAUGUGAAGAGAUAUCUCAGACUUUAUUAUUUAAUCGAUCACUGCAACACCCAUCAUAGCAGCAGCACCAAUCCAUAAAAUAAUUUUAAUCAAAAUAAUUUGUAUCUUUAGCAUUGUUUGAGCUCUCUAAUAGCACAUGGCAUCUCUCACACAGGUAUAUUCCCCCCCUUGAGGAACUCUGGAGGUGGGGAAAUCUCAGUGAAUCAGUGAUGCUUCCAGCCCGAUCACAGACUAUGCCAGUCCAGUUGCAACGAUGUGAGGUGAGGUUGCUGUAGUCACUCCACCAUCCACUCUCAAGCGAAGCCUUGCCUUCUGAUGCUAGCAAGGCUGGGUCAAGAGCAGCCACGAGACCAGUACAAAAAUGAGAUGCUUAAAAUUGCGAGAAGUUUUGGCUCACAAUCAACGGAUGCCAUGUUUGCGUGGUAAUGCUUCCCUUCAAUGAUAAUGCGAAGUUUAUGAAUGAAGUGCAUGGCAUUCCCAUGGACUUUUCUUCCUGUCUUUUGAAAUCAAACAUGAUGCAUGGGUCCAUGCGUUCACUGCAAGACUUUUAAUUCUAUCAAUUCCAUGCUUCAGAUUGUCUAGCAAGUCCUUUUCUUUUUCCACAAAGGAGAAAAAGGUUCAUCAAUAGUAUCAUUUGGAAAUUAAGAAGGCCAGUCAGUUAAUCUAUUCUCCCUGACUUUCAUGCAAAGAGAUCGAGAAGAAAAUAAUCCAGAUACAUGUAUUCUGAUCCUCUUGCCAUUAGUUUGGGGAUUUCAUUCUAAGUCUAUCCGAAUUUUAACAUUUUUAAAUGUUUGUUUGUUUUUUGGUUUCAAAAAUGUUUUGAAAAUUUUAAUUUUUUUUAUUUUUUUCUUUAUUUCAAAUUAAUAAUUUUUUAGUGUUUUCAAUUAGUUUGAUGUGUUAAUAUCAAAAUAAUAUUUUUAAAAAUAUAUAUAUUAUUUUGAUGCAUUUCCGAGCGAAACGCACUUUGAAAAGCAAUCACUACCAUAAUCUCAAAUAUCCCUUUAGGCCCUUACUUUCAAAAAUAGAGUAGACUAGAUUAUUGUCCGCACUAUGUUGCAGGUCGGAUUAACUUUUUUAACAUCAAAAAAUAUCUAAGUGUUAUUAACUUGUUUUCUAGUUGAAAAACAUUAAAACGAGUAGGAGUUAACUUGAUAUGACGAGGUCAACUGGAAAAUCGUUAAAAAUAUAGUUUGACUAAAAAAAUUCAAGAUUGCAUGUUUUUUAAAAAAAAUAUUGAGACGAAAAUAUAUUAGAUCUACCCGAGUAAACCCGUCAAAUUCACGACCAAAAAUAUAAGAUCGAAAUAACCACAUAGAAAGUAAAUCAAAACCAAAUAUGAAACUCAAUUCUCAAUUAAACCAAUGUUAAAAGAUGAAAUUAAAAAAAAAUCAAAAAACAAACAACUCGAGUUAACUUGGGUUAACCUGUUAAAGCUACAACCUAAGUCAUAUGACUAAGAUAACUCCUUAUAAACCAAAUCAAAACAAAUUAUGAAGUUCAAUUCUCAAUUAAUCCAAUGUUGAAGUAUGAAAUUGAAAAAAAAAUCGAUUCAGAAAAACUGAGUCAACUCCGGUUAACCAGUCAAACUCUUGAACUAUGUAAUGAGAUUAAGAUAACCUCAUAGAAAACAAAAAUAAAUAAGAAGCUUAAUCUCAAAUCAAUUAAAUAUUAAAGGAUAAAUUUGAAAAAAAUAAAUAAAUAAAAGGAAAAACAAACCUAAGUUGACCUGUGACUCAAGAUAAGAAAUCUUAAUUUUAAAUUAUGAAAUUAAAAAAACAAACAAAAAAAACCCUGAGCCAACUCAGGUUAACUCGCUAAACUGUAACCCUAGUAAUGAAACCGGGAUAACUUUAGAGAAAGCAAGACCAAAAAAAUAUGAAGCCUGAUUCCAAAUCAAUCAAGUACUAAAGGAUAAAAAUGAAAAAAAAUUACCUAAGUUAAAUUGUCAAACCCGUGAUCCGGGUCAAAAAAAUUAGGAUAACCUUAUAGAAAGUAAAAAAAAAAAUAACCUGAGUCAACUCGAGUCAACCUGAUAAAUCCAUAGAAAGUAAAUCAAAACAAAUUAUGAAGCUCAAUUUUCAAUAAACCCAUUGUUAAAGGUUGAAAUUGAAGAAAAAAAAUUCAAUAUAAAAACAGAACACAAUAAAACAAUCUCAGUCUACAUGCGUUAACCUACAAAAUACGUGACCCAAAUCAUAAGAUUAAGAUAACUUCAUAGAACACAAACCAAAAUAAAUAAUGAAACCUAAUUGAUAAUCAACUCAAUAUUGAAACAUAAAAUUGAAAAAAUAUCAAUUAAAAAAAGACAAAAACAAUUCGAGUCAACUGGGUUAACCCGUUAAACUUGCGACUCGACUCAUUAAAUCGAGAUAACCUUAUAAAAAACAAACCAAAAUAAAUUAUAAAGCAUAAUUAUCAAUCAAUCCAAUGUUGAAGAAUAAGAUUAAAAAACAAAAUCAAUUACAAAAAACCCAAAUCAACCGAAUUAACCUGCUAAACCUGUGACAUAGAUUACAAGACUCGACUAACCACAUAUAAAGUAAACCAUAAUAAAUUAUAAAGCUCAAUAUCCAAUAAACUAAAUGUUGAAGUAUAAAAUUAAGGAGAAACACAGAUUUAGGAGGGGAACGAAAACAAAACACUAUUAAAAUGAAUAGUGUUUUGUGAGGUGAUUAACAGUAUAAUCAUCAACUCUUUUAGUAUAUACUACUAGUUAUUUGAAAUGCAAUCCUCUCCGGGCUAGAUAAUGUUUUUGGAAGAAAAACACAUGCAAGCUUUUCAAAUGCAUUUUUGUACAAAAAGAAAUCUAACUGUAAAUCAAAAGGCAUAUACAUGCAUGUAAUUAAAUAAAUCAAGAAUCAUCUCUUUCAAUAAAUGCUAAAACAAUAUUAGCGUGUCUAUUCGAUUCACGUAGUUGCAAGUUGAUAAUUAUUUUUUUAUAGCACAGAUGAAUUAAUGUGUAGGUGUUAUUAAUAUAUUUUUUGAAGACGAGUAAAAAAUAUAAUCGUGAAAUAAAAGGUUGAUGCUUACAUAUAAUAUAAUAUAGUGAAGUUCAUAUAUGUUAAUAAAAAAAUAUAAGAUCUUAAGCUCAUUUUUAAUGUUGUAUAAAAAUAGAAUAACGUUGUAAUUGCUACAUUAAAACAUCAUUUUUUUAGUCUUUGUAUAAUAAUUUUUGUAAGGUGAAAGCAAAAGUUUCAUAUGCAAAGAAAAUAAUUACAAAAGAAUAAAGAUAAGAAUAAAAAAUAUUAAAUUAAUAAUAUUGCAAUAAUUAUGGAUUCUGGUAAUUUUAGAAUCAGUUUGUUGUUUGUUUUUUGCGUUUUAAAAAUAUUUUUUAUUUUUUGCUUUAAAUUAAUUUAUUUUUUUAAUAAUUUUUAAUAUUUUUAAUAUACUAAUAUCAAAAACAAAUUUUAAAAAUAAAAUAAUACUAUUUUAAUAUAUUUUUAAAUAAAAAAUACUUUGAAAAAUAAUUCUUCAAAACAGAAAAUGAAUUGUUAGUGAUUCUGGUAAUUGUACGAUUCUUGCAAGAAUUUGAAAUCCCGCGCUGGAAUAAAAAGGCUUAAGCCAAUAGCUGAUUGGGCUUUGUUUCAUAGACAUGUUAGAAUAGUUUGUUUUUGUUUUGGUUCAAUAGAAGGCCCGACAAGCCUCGAACAAGAAAGAAACUGAUGCGGAGCUGUAAUCAUUAAAGGAAAUUAUUGAAUAUACACAGCUAUGAGAUAAUUAAUAAAAUCAUAAAAAAUUUAUUAUCCUUGCAUUCUAAUUUAAUUGCAGAAUUGUAUCGGCGACUUGUCAAUUGUCACCAAGAUAAUGGGUAUGUAUAUAGAGCUUUCAUGCAGGAGAAUAUGAACUUUCAUAUAAUCAUUUGUUAUAAUUAGACUAUGUAGAACAUUUAGCAUAUACGAUCUAUGAACGACCGUCCAAGAAAAAAUAUGAUGCUCCAAAUAAUUUUUUUUUCCAGGCUUGUCUAAGAGCAUCAGGACAGUUGCACAUACCCCAAGCUUUUUCUUAUUUAAAGAUAUCAUGAAGGGGGAAUUAAUGGGAUGAUCAAUGUGAUAACAAGGUAAAGAAUUUCAACUUUAAAAAUUGGUUUCAAUAUUUUAUAAAUCAGAUGCUGAUACGAAGAAAUCAUGUGCUCAUAAUCGGAUACUAUGAUAUAUUUUCUCUGUUAGUAAAUGUCUCUGAGACUGAAAAUAAUCUAUAGUUAUGCAUCUUGUACAGCUACAGUGUUGAGCAUUUUACUAGAUAGACAUGGUGGCCGAUGUUGGGGCAUGCUGAUAUCCAAAAUUUACACAAUGGAGGGUGGACAUCUCGACUCACCAUCCUUUGAGGUCAAAGCUUGGUCCCAAACAUGAGACGUAAAUCUUCCUUUGGAGUGGAAGAUGAUUGGAAAUUCCAUCUGUGCCAAAUGAUAAAUAAUAAGGUAGAGAGUAGAUCCAAUCACUGCUUCCAGGCAUCUAUUAUACAAAAGCUUGCAGGGACAAAUUAAUGGAGUUAACAAAUAUCUUCUGCAUAUUUCAAGUGUGGAUUUGCCAAAUUAUAAGAUGAGUGAUGAUUUCAAUUUAACCUAGACGUACAGAGAGGUAGACUUAAUAUGAUAUAUGCUCAUUUAUAUUGAUACUAGCCAUCAUGCACAAGAAAAGUGUGCAUUAUUAAAAUUACAUACAAUGUCACACUAAAAUAUUACAAACACAUGUAGUGUGCUAAAACAAAACAAAAGAAAAAAAGUUCAUCCAAAAUUAAGAAUUCUAAAAACGCAUGCUCUUGGAGGCUCUCGUUGAAGUUCCAUGCGAGAUCGAAGUUUACUUUUUCAGCGAGGAACCGUGAUCUCACCUAUAUUUGUGUGCAAGCCAAGAUUUCGUAGCUCCAACAAAGAAAUCUCGAGACCUCCCAAUAAUCUCUUGGGAGAUAGAAAUUCUUGAGACACGAAUUUCAUUGAAGGUCGAUUUUUUGGAUUUGAAUGUAAGCAACAAAAUAUGAGACUUGCAAUGGUACAUAUAUUUGUACGACAAUCUCAUUUGUUGGAGGUGGCAAACGAGGAUCUAACACUUCUUUCAGUGUAAUAGCCUGAGCAGAUGAUGAUAGGAUAUCUCUCGGAUGCCUUCCCAUCAAAGUUUCAAACGCCACAACUCCAAAGCUGUACACAUCACAUUUCUCUGUCACCGCCAUAGUAUAAGCCAACUCUGUCCAUAUACAAAUCGAAAUUAAUAUAUAUAUAUAUAUAAAAAAAAAAAAGAGUUUGCUUUAGUUUUGCAGUGCAUGAGUGGUAAAUAUGGAUGUUAAGAAGAAAUAUUUUUACCUGGGGCAAUGUAUCCAUAGGUACCAGCAAGUAUAGUAUGGUUGGACGAAUCAGGAUCAAGAAGUCUAGCCACGCCAAAAUCAGCAACAAAAGACUUGGAUUCUGAAUUCAACAGAACAUUGUUGCUUGAUAUGUCUCGAUGAACAAUUGGCGGGUUGCAAUCAUGAUGCAAGUAAGAUAAUGCGUGAGCAAUGUCUUUGAUGAUGUGUGCUCUUUUCAUCCACUUCAAUCCCACAGCUUCGACAUCAUUUCUCAAGGCACAAAACAAGCUUCCCUUUUCCAUGUACUCGUAAACAAGAAACAUGCAGCGCUGGUGCAAACAGAAUCCAUAAAGCUUUACAAUGCUCCUGUGACGUAUUUGUGUGAGCACUUCCACCUCAUUUUUGAAACUCUUGUCAAAAGCCGGCUCCUCUGCCUCUCGACGAUGAAGUUUCUUCAAGGCAACUAAUUUCCCACUUGGAAGUUGUGCUCGGUAGACGCUCCCAUAACCACCGGUUCCGAUACAAUAUCUGAGGUCAAAGUUCUCGGUCGCUGUAAUGAUGUCUUCGUAUGCAAUCGUCCCAUCAUAAUUCCAUACGGAAAACAAGUCCCCAUUCUUUGAUGAUGCUGGCUCAGGUUGGGUAGCCUUGCAUCGAGACAGAUAACAACAUCCGAGGCACAAGAGACAAAGUGAAAUGGUGGUGAUAGGAAGAAAUAUCUUGAUGGA
Molecule: long non-coding RNA, 38015 nt
Filed under: Populus tremula
Lineage: Eukaryota; Viridiplantae; Streptophyta; Magnoliopsida; Malpighiales; Salicaceae
Description: long non-coding RNA (PTRE_LNC003153)
Source: RNAcentral